Molecule: ribosomal RNA, 433 nt
Filed under: uncultured bacterium
Lineage: Bacteria
Description: partial 16S ribosomal RNA
Rfam family: Bacterial small subunit ribosomal RNA
Source: RNAcentral
AACGAACGCUGGCGGCAGGCCUAACACAUGCAAGUCGAGCGAGGACUUCGGUUCUAGCGGCGGACGGGUGAGUAACGCGUGGGAAUGUGCCCUUCUCUACGGAAUAGCCCUGGGAAACUGGGAGUAAUACCGUAUACGCCCUUUUGGGGAAAGAUUUAUCGGAGAAGGAUCAGCCCGCGUUGGAUUAGGUAGUUGGUGGGGUAAUGGCCUACUAAGCCGACGAUCCAUAGCUGGUUUGAGAGGAUGAUCAGCCACACUGGGACUGAGACACGGCCCAGACUCCUACGGGAGGCAGCAGUGGGGAAUCUUAGACAAUGGGGGCAACCCUGAUCGAGCCAUGCCGGGUGAGUGAUGAAGGCCUUAGGGUUGUAAAGCUCUUUCAGCUGGGAAGAUAAUGACGGUACCAGCAGAAGAAGCCCCGGCUAACUCCGUG